CCUACGGGUGGCUGCAGUGGGGAAUAUUGGGCAAUGGAGGCAACUCUGACCCAGCAACGCCGCGUGAAUGAUGAAGGUCUUCGGAUUGUAAAGUUCUUUUCUAAGGGAAGAAGAAAGUGACGGUACCGUAGGAAUAAGCCUCGGCUAACUACGGGCCAGCAGCCGCGGGAAUACGUAGGAGGCAAGCGUUAUCCGGAAUGACUGGGCGUAAAGGGUGCGUAGGGGGUUUGACAAGUUGGUAGCGUAACUCCGGAGCUCAACUUCGGAACUACUACCCAAACUGUUGGACUCGCGUGCAGGCGGUGCAACUGGAAUUUCUCUUGUAGCGGUGGAAUGCGUCGAUCUUAGG
Molecule: ribosomal RNA, 349 nt
Filed under: uncultured bacterium
Lineage: Bacteria
Description: partial 16S ribosomal RNA
Rfam family: Bacterial small subunit ribosomal RNA
Source: RNAcentral